GUGUCAGCAGCCGCGGUAACACGUAGGGGGCAAGCGUUGUCCGGAUUUAUUGGGCGUAAAGAGCUCGUAGGUGGUUCGGUAAGUCGGGUGUGAAAACUCUGGGCUCAACUCAGAGACGCCACCCGAUACUGCUGUGACUUGAGUCUGGUAGGGGAGUGUGGAAUUCCCAGUGUAGCGGUGAAAUGCGCAGAUAUUGGGAGGAACACCAGUGGCGAAGGCGGCACUCUGGGCCAGUACUGACACUGAGGAGCGAAAGCGUGGGUAGCGAACAGGAUUAGAUACCCUGGUAGUCC
RNAcentral lists this ribosomal RNA (293 nucleotides) under uncultured bacterium. RNAcentral describes it as "partial 16S ribosomal RNA". It matches the Rfam family "Bacterial small subunit ribosomal RNA", at positions 505 to 796 of the family's 1533-position model. The record is from RNAcentral.